Molecule: ribosomal RNA, 252 nt
Filed under: uncultured bacterium
Lineage: Bacteria
Description: partial 16S ribosomal RNA
Rfam family: Bacterial small subunit ribosomal RNA
Source: RNAcentral
UACGUAGGUCCCGAGCGUUGUCCGGAUUUAUUGGGCGUAAAGCGAGCGCAGGUGGUUUAUUAAGUCUGGUGUAAAAGGCAGUGGCUCAACCAUUGUAUGCAUUGGAAACUGGUAGACUUGAGUGCAGGAGAGGAGAGUGGAAUUCCAUGUGUAGCGGUGAAAUGCGUAGAUAUAUGGAGGAACACCGGUGGCGGAAGCGGCUCUCUGGCCUGUAACUGACACUGAGGCUCGAAAGCGUGGGGAGCAAACAGG